ACAAGAUAGCGUAAUACCGGAGUAACAACAACUAGACGCAUGUCUAGAGCUUGAAAGAUGGUUCUGCUAUCACUCUUGGAUGGACCUGCGGUGCAUUAGCUAGUUGGUAAGGUAACGGCUUACCAAGGCAAUGAUGCAUAGCCGAGUUGAGAGACUGAUCGGCCACAUUGGGACUGAGACACGGCCCAAACUCCUACGGGAGGCAGCAGUAGGGAAUCUUCCACAAUGGACGAAAGUCUGAUGGAGCAACGCCGCGUGAGUGAAGAAGGGUUUUCGGCUCGUAAAAGCUCUGUUGGUAGUGAAGAAAGAUAGAGGUAGUAACUGGCCUUUUAUUUUGACGGUAAUUACUUAGAAAGUCACGGCUAACUACGUGCC
RNAcentral lists this ribosomal RNA (375 nucleotides) under uncultured bacterium. RNAcentral's name for it is "bacterial SSU rRNA". It matches the Rfam family "Bacterial small subunit ribosomal RNA", at positions 153 to 509 of the family's 1533-position model. The record is from RNAcentral.